Molecule: ribosomal RNA, 404 nt
Filed under: Actinomycetes bacterium
Lineage: Bacteria; Bacillati; Actinomycetota; Actinomycetes
Description: Actinobacteria bacterium partial 16S ribosomal RNA
Rfam family: Bacterial small subunit ribosomal RNA
Source: RNAcentral
UGGGGAAUAUUGGACAAUGGGCGCAAGCCUGAUCCAGCCAUGCCGCGUUAGUGAUGAAGGCUCUAGGGUUUUAAAGCCCUUUCUCCGGUGAAGAUAAUGACGGUAACCGGAGAAGAAGCCCCGGCUAACUUCGUGCCAGCAGCCGCGGUAAUACGAAGGGGGCUAGCGUUGUUCGGAUUUACUGGGCGUAAAGCGCACGUAGGCGGACUUUUAAGUCAGGGGUGAAAUCCCGGGGCUCAACCCCGGAACUGCCUUUGAUACUGGAAGUCUUGAGUAUGGUAGAGGUGAGUGGAAUUCCGAGUGUAGAGGUGAAAUUCGUAGAUAUUCGGAGGAACACCAGUGGCUAAGGCGGCUCACUGGACCAUUACUGACGCUGAGGUGCGAAAGCGUGGGGAGCAAACAGG